UAAAACGUAGGACGCAAGCGUUAUCCGGAGUUACUGGGCGUAAAGCGCGGGCAGGCGGUCGGUCAAGUCUGAUGUGAAAUCUCCUCGCUCAACGGGGAGCAGCCAUUGGAAACUGGUCGACUGGAGUCUGGCAGAGGUAGGCGGAAUUCCGGGUGGAGUGGUGAAAUGCGUAGAGAUCCGGAGGAACACCAGAGGCGAAGGCGGCCUACUGGGCCAGUACUGACGCUGAGCCGCGAAAGCCAGGGGAGCGAACGGGAUUAGAAACCCCGGUAGUCCUGGCCGUAAACGAUGUGUGCUGGGUGGUGGGGGGUCUCCCUUCACUGCCGAAGCCAACGCGAUAAGCACACCGCCUGGGGAGUACGGUCGCAAGGCUA
RNAcentral lists this ribosomal RNA (374 nucleotides) under uncultured bacterium. Its description in RNAcentral is "bacterial SSU rRNA". It matches the Rfam family "Bacterial small subunit ribosomal RNA", at positions 521 to 896 of the family's 1533-position model. The record is from RNAcentral.